AUACGUAGGGGGCGAGCGUUGUCCGGAAUGAUUGGGCGUAAAGGGCGCGUAGGCGGCGCGGUAAGUCUGGAGUGAAAGUCCUGCUUUCAAGGUGGGAAUUGCUUUGGAUACUGCCGCGCUUGAGUGCAGGAGAGGUUAUCGGAAUUCCCGGUGUAGCGGUGAAAUGCGUAGAGAUCGGGAGGAACACCAGUGGCGAAGGCGGGUAACUGGACUGCAACUGACGCUGAGGCGCGAAAGUGUGGGGAGCAAACAGGAUUAGAUACCCUGGUAGUCCAUGCCGUAAACGAUGAUUACUAGGUGUAGGGGGUAUCGACCCCUUCUGUGCCGGAGUUAACACAAUAAGUAAUCCACCUGGGGAGUACGGCCGCAAGGUUGAAACUCAAAGGAAUUGACGGGG
RNAcentral lists this ribosomal RNA (397 nucleotides) under uncultured bacterium. RNAcentral describes it as "partial 16S ribosomal RNA". It matches the Rfam family "Bacterial small subunit ribosomal RNA", at positions 523 to 918 of the family's 1533-position model. The record is from RNAcentral.